Molecule: ribosomal RNA, 162 nt
Filed under: uncultured bacterium
Lineage: Bacteria
Description: partial 16S ribosomal RNA
Rfam family: Bacterial small subunit ribosomal RNA
Source: RNAcentral
CAUGCCGCGUGUGUGAAGAAGGCUUUCGGGUUGUAAAGCACUUUCAGUGAGGAAGAACGCCUCGCGGCCAAUACCCGCGAGGAAAGACAUCACUCACAGAAGAAGCACCGGCUAACUCCGUGCCAGCCACCUCGGUGACUGAGCGGGCUGGCAAGGCGCAUA